RNAcentral lists this ribosomal RNA (300 nucleotides) under Campylobacter coli. RNAcentral describes it as "partial 16S ribosomal RNA". It matches the Rfam family "Bacterial small subunit ribosomal RNA", at positions 1228 to 1533 of the family's 1533-position model. RNAcentral also lists the same sequence under 1 other name. Lineage: Bacteria; Pseudomonadati; Campylobacterota; Epsilonproteobacteria; Campylobacterales; Campylobacteraceae. The record is from RNAcentral.
CAAUGGCAUAUACAAUGAGACGCAAUACCGCGAGGUGGAGCAAAUCUAUAAAAUAUGUCCCAGUUCGGAUUGUUCUCUGCAACUCGAGAGCAUGAAGCCGGAAUCGCUAGUAAUCGUAGAUCAGCCAUGCUACGGUGAAUACGUUCCCGGGUCUUGUACUCACCGCCCGUCACACCAUGGGAGUUGAUUUCACUCGAAGCCGGAAUACUAAACUAGUUACCGUCCACAGUGGAAUCAGCGACUGGGGUGAAGUCGUAACAAGGUAACCGUAGGAGAACCUGCGGUUGGAUCACCUCCUUU